This 233-nucleotide long non-coding RNA is filed under the name Elaeis guineensis (African oil palm). RNAcentral's name for it is "long non-coding RNA (EGUI_LNC043636)". The record is from RNAcentral. Lineage: Eukaryota; Viridiplantae; Streptophyta; Magnoliopsida; Arecales; Arecaceae.
AUCUUGGCUGACUGUAGGGCUUCUCAUUGUUGUAGUUCUAAUAAUGUGGAGGAUAUCAAUAGUCCCACAUCGGUUAUGAGUUAAAGGAGACUCGUGCUUAUAAGGAGGAAAAAAAUUUUUUCACAUGAGACAUCUUUUAAAGAGUAAAAUCGUGAGGCCCAUAGAUCAGAGCGGACAAUACAUCACGUGAUGGACCGAACCCUUAUCCGCAACAUAUACAAUGUGAGGCCCAU